RNAcentral lists this ribosomal RNA (480 nucleotides) under Bacillus anthracis (anthrax bacterium). Its description in RNAcentral is "bacterial SSU rRNA". It matches the Rfam family "Bacterial small subunit ribosomal RNA", at positions 49 to 509 of the family's 1533-position model. The record is from RNAcentral. Lineage: Bacteria; Bacillati; Bacillota; Bacilli; Caryophanales; Bacillaceae.
CUAUACUGCAAGUCGAGCGAAUGGGAUUAAGAGCUUGCUCUUAUGAAGUUAGCGGCGGACGGGUGAGUAACACGUGGGUAACCUGCCCAUAAGACUGGGAUAACUCCGGGAAACCGGGGCUAAUACCGGAUAACAUUUUGAACCGCAUGGUUCGAAAUUGAAAGGCGGCUUCGGCUGUCACUUAUGGAUGGACCCGCGUCGCAUUAGCUAGUUGGUGAGGUAACGGCUCACCAAGGCAACGAUGCGUAGCCGACCUGAGAGGGUGAUCGGCCACACUGGGACUGAGACACGGCCCAGACUCCUACGGGAGGCAGCAGUAGGGAAUCUUCCGCAAUGGACGAAAGUCUGACGGAGCAACGCCGCGUGAGUGAUGAAGGCUUUCGGGUCGUAAAACUCUGUUGUUAGGGAAGAACAAGUGCUAGUUGAAUAAGCUGGCACCUUGACGGUACCUAACCAGAAAGCCACGGCUAACUACGUGCC